Molecule: small RNA, 87 nt
Filed under: Flavobacterium degerlachei
Lineage: Bacteria; Pseudomonadati; Bacteroidota; Flavobacteriia; Flavobacteriales; Flavobacteriaceae
Description: Flavo-1 RNA
Source: RNAcentral
UAUCGAUCGUGUGAAGUGAAAAUCCUUUUUUAUAAUGUAGUGCUAGCAGAAUUAUAAAAAAGAUUGCAACAAAUAGCCCGCUUCGCU